GCAUAUCAAUAAGCGGAGGAAAAGAAACUAACAAGGAUUCCCCUAGUAACUGCGAGUGAAGCGGGAUGAGCUCAAAUUUGAAAUCUGGCGGUUCCGCCGUCCGAGUUGUAAUCUGGAGAAGCGUUUUCCGUGCCGGACCGUGUACAAGUCCCUUGGAACAGGGCGUCAUAGAGGGUGAGAAUCCCGUCUUUGACACGGACUCCCGGUGCUCUGCGAUGCGCUCUCGAAGAGUCGAGUUGUUUGGGAAUGCAGCUCAAAAUGGGUGGUAAAUUCCAUCUAAAGCUAAAUAUUGGCGAGAGACCGAUAGCGAACAAGUACCGUGAGGGAAAGAUGAAAAGCACUUUGGAAAGAGAGUAAAACAGUACGUGAAAUUGUUGAAAGGGAAACGCUUGAAGUCAGUCGCGUCUUCUGGGACUCAGCCUUGCUCUGCUUGGUGCAUUUCCCAGUUUGACGGGUCAGCAUCGGCUCUGGGGGGCGGACAAAGGCGCGGGGAAGGUGGCAGCUCCGGCUGCGUUAUAGCCCCGCGUUACGCGUCCCCCGGGACCGAGGAAUCCGGCGCUCGCGCCUGGGAUGCUGGCGUAAUGGCUUUAAACGACCCGUCUUGAAACACGG
Molecule: ribosomal RNA, 612 nt
Filed under: Subulicystidium meridense
Lineage: Eukaryota; Fungi; Basidiomycota; Agaricomycetes; Trechisporales; Hydnodontaceae
Description: LSU rRNA
Rfam family: Eukaryotic large subunit ribosomal RNA
Source: RNAcentral